RNAcentral lists this ribosomal RNA (253 nucleotides) under uncultured bacterium. Its description in RNAcentral is "partial 16S ribosomal RNA". It matches the Rfam family "Bacterial small subunit ribosomal RNA", at positions 524 to 776 of the family's 1533-position model. The record is from RNAcentral.
UACAGAGGGUGCGAGCGUUAAUCGGAAUUACUGGGCGUAAAGCGCGCGUAGGCGGCUUUGUAAGUCGGUUGUGAAAUCCCCGGGCUUAACCUGGGAACUGCAUCCGAGACUGCAUGGCUAGAGUAUGGGAGAGGGAAGUGGAAUUUCAGGUGUAGCGGUGAAAUGCGUAGAUAUCUGAAGGAACAUCAGUGGCGAAAGCGACUUCCUGGACCAAUACUGACGCUGAGACGCGAAAGCGUGGGGAGCAAACAGG